GGCGCGCGCAAGGGGGACGCCGUCGCCGUCAAGCUCAUCCCCAAGGCCAAGGUUUGAAGGCGCCUGACAAGCCCAUCGUCGCGCCGCCGACCUGCUGAAAUUCGAGGUCGGCACCCGUGCGAACUCAGAAAUGUACAAAGGACUGACAUGUGUCAUCUAUAGCAUGUCCCCUUUGUCUGAAUGUUCAAGUAGAAGAGUUUCAUCUCAUUUGGCAAGGAGCACUGCAAUAAUACAUGCAACUCUUCACAGCUACUAACAUGAAGUUGCACUCAGGCUCUCGCAUGGACUAAAGAGUUAUUGUCGUUGUCCCAUGACAUGGAUCACUUGUUCCUCGAACUUCCCUGGCUGAAGGAGCAACUGGAGAAGUACAUUGACGAGGCCUCGGCGACUGGAUCAUGGAGCCCAAACGCGCUUCGCACCACCCCGGAUGCUUGAUUGAAAGAAGGGUUGGAGCCUCGCUGCAUCACCAGGGAUUUGACAUGGGACGUCCCUGUCCCACACGAGAAGUACAAGGAUAAGAGUUCGGAUGUUCCGAUGAUGUGCAUCGUGUGCUUCCAAGGCAACAGAAGGUUGUACACAUAUCAACGUCUAUGGGUGAAGAUAUCCUACCAUAUCUAGAACCUGUUUGAUAUGCAGAUUAGUCAAGCUUUUGUAGAGCAGUCCUCAUAAGUUGCAAGAUACAUGCAUGGUUCGUAUGGUUCAUUACUCAUAACUAAUCUAUAUGUCAAAACUUGGACAACUAUUUAGCCCUUGAAUUAUCUUAUAAAUUGACAAUGAUGAUGUUUUC
Triticum urartu is the source of this 787-nucleotide non-coding RNA. The record is from RefSeq and is a predicted model, not a curated record. Lineage: Eukaryota; Viridiplantae; Streptophyta; Magnoliopsida; Poales; Poaceae.